Phyllopteryx taeniolatus (common seadragon) is the source of this 6367-nucleotide long non-coding RNA. RefSeq lists it as uncharacterized. Lineage: Eukaryota; Metazoa; Chordata; Actinopteri; Syngnathiformes; Syngnathidae. The record is from RefSeq and is a predicted model, not a curated record. The transcript is spliced from 4 exons.
UUGUGAUGUCAGAGUUCAGUGAUGUUGGCGUAAUCUUUGUUCUCAAUCACCUUGAAAGUUUGUGGUUGAAGUGUUCCAGUGUUUUCACAGCAUGCUGGAACUGAAAAGAUCCUUGCCCCAACUCUUCCCACAAAGUUGCAAAACAGAACUGCACACAAUCUUAGGGGACUUACUCAACAACUGAUUAUUUAUUUCAUUUUCAUUUCUCCAUUGCAGUGUACCACAGAAAACACACACAAUGAACAUUCCAGUUCAGAUGAAAAGGUGGCAUUCUGAGAGGACGGUUAUUACCACUGCUGCAUCCAGCCAUCUCAAAGUGCACCAGAUGUGCUCGCUUGUGCAAUUAUUCCAGCAAAGACACUGGCUCAGAUGUUUUGUGUGUGUGUGUUAACAGCCUUGUUGGAGCAGUAAAUGUCUUCCAUUUGAGCUUCUGGCUGACCUUCUAGCGCUCUGGCCUUUCCCCCUUUUCCCACCUUCACCAGCAAGGCAACUGUGGAAUUGUGUGUUUAAAGCUUUGCCACCUCUGCCAUCUCUCAGCGUGCCUCUCCUUCGAGGGAAACCUUUGGCUAACAUUGCAUGUGUCUCUUCCGGGUUCCACUUCCUUCAACUUGGGCAGUUUUGUUUGGACAUGUUACAGCAAUAAUUUGCAUAGGUCUGGUAUUUACUCGCAAGCCUGCAUUGUUUUUCAAAUGUGUGAUUGUGCUGAUGUAAUGUGCUGAUGUAUGUAACAAUGUGUGUCAUAAUAGUCCAAAGUGCAGGUGAAAGAUGUAAGAGCAUGUACUCUUCCUCUACCCACUAACGUUCUUUUACUUGUGCUGAUGGCCCGAACAGGAAGUUGACUUCAGCUUGUACCCUUUAAAAACGAUACAUCUUGUACUUCCUUCAUGCAUUUAUAACAGGUCAAUAAUUUUCUAAAUAUAAGUCUCUACCCAGUGGUUGUGAUGUCACUUGAUGUUUAAAAAAAAAAGAGCAUAAUGGACUAAACUAGAAGAAAAGUUACUAUUUUUAAAGAUUUGUUUUUCCUGUGUAAAAGAUGUAUUCACGAGAGGUUUUUGAAGUAGGUUUUGCAGUUGAUAACAUGGUUAAGCAUUGAACAUGGUGCAGACUGCACAAGACAGGUGCCCAGGAAUUUUCUGUGCUGAAUAAAGGACAAUAUUCUGUUGAUUGUCUUGUUUAGAUACCUGAAGAAUUUCAUCGGAUCACGGGGACUUUCAAUGCAUCCCUUGACAAAUUCGUGCUUGGCCUGCUGAAACUGUACAGGUCUCUUGGUGAGAAGAUGGAAGACCUGGAUAAACUUGAUGAAUAGCCUCUGUUGGGGAUGCUGGAAUUUUCACGCGGUGAUCAUGAGCAGCAACGUUGAAUACUUAAAUGGGACACAGAGAGGUUUCGUUGUUGAUGUCAAUUACAUCUUUAAUUGGCAGUCACUCCUUCAAGUGGCUCUCUCCCCACGGACCUGCCCUGGACAUGCCUGCAUGUGUGUGCAUGCAUGUAUACGUCUGUGCAUGAUCGAGAAAAAAAAGAGGCGUAUAUGCGUCCAUAUUUAACAACAAAAAUGUUACAAGGAAGGACAAUUGCUACAUUAAGAAAACAAUAAUGUCCUUCAUUUUGGCAAAGUAUUGAACACAUGCAAACAUCAACCUUCUUCGUGCAUCCUUUCAUGCAAUCUUUUCUGUUCAGUCAAACCUUGAUUGUGCCUUUAGCUCCAUUCAUUGUUCAGGAUGUUAUUUAUGUCUCAUAAUUGUUGGGGGGCUUUUUGAAUGUGGCAGCGAUGAAAAGAACAAGUCUAUUUGAAUGAGCAAUGUCAGAGUUUUUAUUUUUAAUUUUUUUCCUGGAAGUGUAACCUUAAUGUGAACACGGGCUGGCUGCAUGCACAGCCCCACUGUUAUUCCUGGGGUGCAAAUGUCUGAGGGUUCCAAAUAAUACACACCAUAUCAUAACAUGGACUAUUGGUGGCCUUUGCAGCGAAAGAUGAGAAAGAAAGAGAAGGCUGCAACUAAAACAUUUUAGUGAGAAAGAGUGCAAAAGACACCAUGUGCUGUACACCUGAGUCAGGCGAAAAGGGCGGAGGGGUUAGGGCAAUGUGGGGGGUGGCGGGGUGUUAAGUGGGGGAUGAUGGGAGGGAAUCAGUUCCACUACACGCUCAUUACCACCUAUUCAUCUGGAAGACCUCUCUGAAAAGAUCCACUGCGGGCUAACUUAUGUAUUUGUUUGCAAGUGGGGGUAUAUUAAUCUGCAUGUAUGUGAGCAUGCUGCAACCCCCCCAUCGCAACCACACACAUAAUAAGAUUAAUGACUUCAUAAUGAACCAUAUUUACCUCCCUGUCCUUUUACUUUCCCCCGCGUGACUUCCACUCCACUGCCCGGCGUUCACUUUGAAGGCUGCAAUUAGCUCCUUUAUUAACAUGAAAAACACAAGCUUUUACAUCUUCAUGGGAUAAUGGAAGAUGACGAGCACUACAAUAUUCUACUACAAUGUCCCCCACGUGGCCAUUUGAGGCUUUUUAAUACCAGCACUGAACAUUCACAGCAAAGCACUCAAUGGUCAAGUGCAGCACACGUUACAUCUUUAUGAAAUAGGCUUUUUUUAAAUCCCAAAUUCCAAAGGUCAAGACAGAAGCAGAGUCACAGAUGAUGAAAGAAAGAUACAGACCACAUUAUUCUAAUACAGUUUGGAGGGCCUCACGGCAGUCCUGCAUACUUCAAGCCCAAGUUCCAAAAAAACAACUUGCAAUAUCUAGCCGCAUCUCUUCCCUCUUCUUCAUCUUUUCAUCUUUUAUUACAAGAUUGAUUUGAAUGCGUGUUUGUUCUACUUUCAGUUCAAUUUCUCUUUUAAAAUCUGCAUCUUGGGCAUGUGUUUAAGCAACUGCCAAAUUUUCUAUUAAAUUUGAUGACGGUGCUCGAGUCUUGGGAUGAGGGAGAUAAGCUUGAGGAUACAGAGAGAUUAUUUUACAUUAUAUCAUGCAUUCCUCCAUUUGGACCAUUUUGCCUGUGAAAUGCGAUCCUCUGAAAUCAGGACCUUUUGCACUUCGGCUACCCCUGGCCAAGCUGAUGGUCUUGGGUUGAGAUCAUCAAAUCACAUAAUGGUACUUUUUUCAGGGUAACACUUUUCACUGGUAUUCAGUGCUUUUUGGGAAGUUUUGAAGGCUUCGUUGCCUCAUUUACGAGUCUGUCGUCAUAUAUUAAGUAGAACAGGAUUGGGGAAGGCGGCACGGUGGCCGACUGGUUAGAACGUCAGCCUCACAGUUCUGAGGACCCGGGUUCAAUCCCAGGCCCCGCCUGUGUGGAGUUUGCAUGUUCUCCCCGUGCCUGCGUGGGUUUUCUCCGGGCACUCCGGUUUCCUCCCACAUCCCAAAAACAUGCAUUAAUUGGAGACUCUAAAUUGCCCGUAGGCAUGACUGUGAGUGCGAAUGGUUGUUUGUUUCUAUGUGCCUUGCGAUUGGCUGGCAACCAGUUCAGGGUGUACCCCGCCUCCUGCCCGAUGAUAGCUGGGAUAGGCUCCAGCACGCCCGCGACCCUAGUGAGGAAAAGCGGCUCAGAAAAUGGAUAGAGGAUUGGGGAAUUACCUCACGGGACAGACCCAUAUUUUAAGUACAAUUGCUGAUAUUGUCUCUUAAAUGCAGCCCUUUUUUUCUUGGAAGUUGUAGGCUCUUCUUGAUUUGUCUCAUCAAUUUUUGUGAGUGCAGUGGCACAGGCAGAUGCACCUUAUUUUCCUAAUAAAACUUUUUGACUCUGAUGAUCAAUAGAAUAUUUUUUGUUCAGUCGAUCUGUGUGACUCGGUGCCAAAUGGCCACGGACCGGUGGUUGGAGACCUUGCCUGAGAGGGAAUCAUUCCUUGUAUUGAUCGACAGAUUCAUCUAAAAUAAUAGUAUUGAUACCAUCGUUGAUACAUUAUCUGUAUUAAGCAAAACUUGUUUGAUGAGACUGAUACUUUUUUUGUGUGUCAACUUUCAAUACACAACUCUAGUUACAUCAUAGUGGUUGUGCUAAUAGCACUCCUCUUACUUUGCGUCUCCCUCGCCCCAUAAUAUGCUGUGAGUUGUUGCCGGUGUGCCGUUAUGGUGCGCAGUAGCUCAGCCAUGCGCUGCUGGCUGCUGGUGGUAGAAGAUGAGUUAUUUUAUCGCUGCACAUAAGAAUACUGAAAUUUGUUAAUGUUUUAAGGAAACAGAUAUGCUACCUUGAUUCAGAUUAUUAUUAUUAUAAUACUGAUUAUUUUUUGCAUAUUUAUCACACUUAAAUGUUUCAGAUCAUUAAAGCAAUUUUAGUACAAAUAAAAUGCAGUUUCCAAAUGAUUAUUUUAUGUAAAACCAAAUUUAUCGGCCCACUGUAAAAAAGUAUUUGCGCCCUCAACCUUACAACUGAUUGUGCCACCAUUGGCAGUAAAAUCUGAAAUCAAGCAUUCGUGAUACUUGCUGGUGAGUCUUAUGCAUCGUUGUGGAGGAAUUUUGGCCCACUGUUUUUUUUGCACAAUUGAAUGAAUGAAUGAUUGAACUUAUGUCAUGGUCUGUCCCUACAGUUCCGUUGUUGGAGCUUGGGUGGCGCUUUGCGCUCCUCUCGCCCUCUCUCUCUCCCCCUCUCUCUUUUCCCAGUAAUCAGCACCACCUCGGCCACGCACCUGUUGCCAAUCAGCACUCUACUCUGCCUGCAUUUAAGCCUGCCUGGUCCAAAACUCCACUGCCAGAGUAUUAACCUUCUCCCGUGUGCUCCUUCCGUGUUCCCCGCCGUAUUGACCUCUUCCACCACGCCGCAAAGCCAUCCACCUGCUCACGCCUCCGCCUGCCGCAUGUUCCCUGUCUCGACAACCCGCCAGUACGCCUCAAGGAUCCAUCUCCAUAUCCUCUUCAAUAAACCUUUCACCACAGACCUCUCAGCCUCCGCUUGCUUCUGGGUCCAGUGAGAAUCGAAUCGUGACAACUUAGUCAAAUUGGAGGGUUUUCAAGUAUGCAUCCAUCCAUCCAUCCAUUUUCUACCGCUAUCCAAGGUCGGGUCGCAGGGACGCCCAGACUUCCCUCUCCCCAGCCACUUCCUCUAGCUCUUCCAGGGGGACCCAAGCCGUUCCCAGGCCAGCUGAAGGACAUAGUCUCUCCAGCAUGUCCUGGGUCAUCGCCGGAGUCUCCUCCACCUCAGCAGGGAGGUGUCCGGGAGGCAUCCGAAUCAGAUGCCCCAGCCACCUCAUCUGGCUCCUCUCGAUUUGGAGGAGCAGCGGCUCUACUCUGAGAUCCUCCCGGAUGACCAAGCUUCUCACUCUAUCUCUAAGGGAGAGCCCGGACACCCUGCAGAGGAAACUCAUUUCGGCCGCUUGUAUCCGGGAUCUUGUUCUUUCGGUCACGACCCACAGCUCGUCACCAUAGGCAAGGGUAGGAACGUACAUCGAGAGCUUUGCCUUUCGGCUUAGCUCCUUCUUUAAAGAUCGAUACAAAGUCCGCAAAGUCAAGUAUGCAGCGCCCGUUUAAGAUCCUACCACAGCAUCUCAAUUGGAUUUAAAUCGGCUGCCUUGGCUUCUCCAAAAUCUUCAUUUAGUUUUUGUUUUUUUUGAGCCAUUCAGAGGUGGACUUGGUAUGUUUCUUGUCAUUAUCCUGCUGCAUACCCCAAUAGCGCCUGAGCUUGGGGUCAUGAACUGAUGACGUUCGCCUGCAGACAGCAAAAUUAAUUGUUCCAUUAAUUUAACAGCAAUUUGCCCAAGUGCUGAAGUACAAAAGCAGCCCCAGAACAUGACACGCCACCAUCAUGUUUGGAUGCUGGCAUGAUGUCCUUUUUGUCAAAAGUGUCAUUUUUACACCAGCUAUAAUCGACUGCAAACCCUCCAAAAACAAAUUUGAUCUCAUCAAUCUACAGAAUAUAUCUAAAAAAACAUUGGGCUUAUCAUCAUGUACUAUGCCAAAUUUAAGACUAGCCUUUGCAUUUUUACAUUUUAUUUUGUCAGCAGCACUUUUUGCCUUGGAACUCUCCCACAGAUGCCAUUUUCCCCCAGUGUCUUUCUAUGGUUGAGUCAUCAACACUGACCUUAACUGUGGCCUCCAAUUGUUUGUAUGUCAUUCUGGGUUCUUUUGUGACUUCUUAGAAACGUCAUUGAACUCUUUGAGUAAUUUUGGUUGGCUGAUCAAUCCUCAAAAGGUUCGCCACUGUUUCUCAUUUGUUCUUGUAUUUCUUUCUUUCAUCAUCAUCAACCACCUGUGCUGGAAUGCAAACAUCAUCUGCACAAAAAAACCUGAGCAGUCUGACAGAGAGGUUUCUCACACAGUUGCUAUAACCCCUAAAUGAACACCUGUUGUUUCGAAAAUUUGUCACAAAGUACAUCUUCAUCAUUAUCUUCUUUGAUGUAACAAGACGAGGUCUUCUCCAGUUGUGAAUAAACAAUUAAACAUCUGUA